Molecule: ribosomal RNA, 334 nt
Filed under: uncultured Pseudomonadota bacterium
Lineage: Bacteria; Pseudomonadati; Pseudomonadota
Description: bacterial SSU rRNA
Rfam family: Bacterial small subunit ribosomal RNA
Source: RNAcentral
AAUGAACGCUGGCGGCGUGCUUAACACAUGCAAGUCGAACGAGAAAGUCCUUCGGGGCGAGUAAAGUGGCGCACGGGUGAGUAACGCGUAGGCAAUCUACCCCCAUGACCGGGAUAACAGUGCGAAAGCGCUGCUAAUACCGGAUACGAUCCGUGACCGGGAGGUUACGGAUGAAAGCCGGCCACUCAGAGAAGCUGGUGCAUGGGGAUGAGCCUGCGUCCUAUCAGCUAGUUGGCAGGGUAACGGCCUACCAAGGCGACGACGGGUAGCUGGUCUGAGAGGAUGAUCAGCCACACUGGCACUGAAAUACGGGCCAGACUCCUACGGGAGGCUG